RNAcentral lists this ribosomal RNA (371 nucleotides) under uncultured bacterium. RNAcentral describes it as "bacterial SSU rRNA". It matches the Rfam family "Bacterial small subunit ribosomal RNA", at positions 28 to 400 of the family's 1533-position model. The record is from RNAcentral.
GAUAAACGCUGGCGGCGUGCCUUAUGCAUGCAAGUCGAACGAGGUUAAGAUUUCGGUCUGAAGCCUAGUGGCGGACGGGUGAGUAACACGUACGUGACCUGUCCAGAAGUGGGGAAUAACCGGCCGAAAGGUCGGCUAAUACCGCAUGUGGUCACCCCUUGGAAGGGGAUGACGAAAGCCGAAAGGCGCUUCUGGAGGGGCGUGUGGCCGAUUAGCUUGUUGGUGUGGUAACGGCGCACCAAGGCGAUGAUCGGUAGCUGGUCUGAGAGGAUGGUCAGCCACACUGGGACUGAGAUACGGCCCAGACUCCUACGGGAGGCAGCAGCAGGGAAUUUUGCGCAAUGGGCGAAAGCCUGACGCAGCAACGCCGC